RNAcentral lists this transfer RNA (80 nucleotides) under Botryobasidium botryosum FD-172 SS1. Its description in RNAcentral is "tRNA-Leu (TAG) (tRNA-Leu-TAG-1-1)". It matches the Rfam family "tRNA". Rfam says of the family: Transfer RNA (tRNA) molecules are approximately 80 nucleotides in length. The record is from RNAcentral. Lineage: Eukaryota; Fungi; Basidiomycota; Agaricomycetes; Cantharellales; Botryobasidiaceae.
GGUGAGAUGGCCGAGUGGUCUAAGGCGCCAGAUUUAGGCUCUGGUCCUCCGGGGCGUGGGUUCGAACCCCACUCUCAUCA